GGGAAACCGGGCUACAUACAAAGGGAUGCUUGUCUCCCUCCAGGGAAACCCCUCGAGUCUCUACACAAAGCAGCGGGGUGCAGAAUCCUAUUCCGGCUAAUACUCAGUUACCAAUAUAAUGGAUGGUGGAGAGGAAUCGAUAGAGGCAGUGGCGGCCGCUCGGUGAAAGAGGCUGAGAUCGCUCAAAAUGGCUCAGGAACUCCUUAAUACGCCAGAUGCUAAUGCUGAAAAUGACAACAAUCAAGAACAAAAAGAGGAAGAAGAGCAAAAGCAAGAGUAAUUUUCUCUUCGUUUCCCCCCAUUUUAUUUUUGUUUAGAGCAAGAAGAAGCAAAGAGGAGAUUGAAAGAAGAUGGCAAAAAUGGCGUCCAAGACUGAAGGGAAACAUCAAUUCUAGACCGUGAAUUACAAAGCAUGUUCUACAAUCAUUUUUAGUUUGUAUAACUCUGUUUUCUUAGAAUCUUUAAUAGAAUGUAUUUCACUCAAUCUAGGUUUAUUUAAGAUGCUUGAAACAUUAGACGUAAAUUUUAUGUAUCAAAUGACCUGAUGGAAAUUAACAAUGAAAUGUGAUUUAAAAGGACAUAACUACAAUGGUUGAGUUCAUAAAUAAUGCUAUUGUUAUUGUAAAGGUAGAUUGUACAUCACAGUUGUUUUUGUAGCCAUGAACUCGAAUUGUAUGAGUUUAACGUGAC
Olea europaea var. sylvestris is the source of this 690-nucleotide long non-coding RNA. RefSeq lists it as uncharacterized. The transcript has 2 exons. The record is from RefSeq and is a predicted model, not a curated record. Lineage: Eukaryota; Viridiplantae; Streptophyta; Magnoliopsida; Lamiales; Oleaceae.